CAGUAGCCACGGUAAUACGAAGGGUGCAAGCGUUAAUCGGAAUUACUGGGCGUAAAGCGUGCGUAGGUGGUGAGUUAAGUCUGCUGUGAAAUCCCCGGGCUCAACCUGGGAAUGGCAGUGGAUACUGGCUCGCUAGAGUGUGUCAGAGGAUGGUGGAAUUCCCGGUGUAGCGGUGAAAUGCGUAGAGAUCGGGAGGAACAUCAGUGGCGAAGGCGGCCACCUGGGCCUGCACUGACGCUCAUGCACGAAAGCGUGGGGAGCAAACAGGAUUAGAUACCCCCGUAGUCCCUGUCUCUUAUAC
Molecule: ribosomal RNA, 301 nt
Filed under: uncultured bacterium
Lineage: Bacteria
Description: partial 16S ribosomal RNA
Rfam family: Bacterial small subunit ribosomal RNA
Source: RNAcentral